CGUGAUCGUUUAAAACUGAUAAAAGUUACAUUUCAUUGUAUUAGUCAAUAACUUGAAUUAAAUGUGGUACACAUAGCAACUCAAGAACCCUUCCUUGUGGUUAAAGUACUAUUCUUUCACGAAUUAAAUGAGGUUAGUUGAUUCAAGGGAAGUUGUCGUUCCGAAAGUUCUAGUUUAACCCUAUGAAAUAAAUAUGUACUAGUUU
Molecule: long non-coding RNA, 205 nt
Organism: Diprion similis
Lineage: Eukaryota; Metazoa; Arthropoda; Insecta; Hymenoptera; Diprionidae
Exons: 2
Source: RefSeq, a predicted model, not a curated record